GCCCGCCACACACCCCCCUCUCCCUUCCCAGGAGGAGGGGGGAGAAGGAGGGAGCCGAUGCUCCGCUGCUCUUCCUCCGCUCCCCUGCACCUGAGCGCCGUCGGAGCGGAUCCGCAGCGCGAUGCCAACCGCAAGCAGGUGCGCUCAGCCCCGCAGGACGCGUGCGCAGAGCCCCGCGGGACGCGCCCGCAGCCCCGCCCUUGGCGGCCGGGUGGAAUCCCUCCCAGCUGGGCAGGAAGGCAGUUGUUUGCUUCCUGGUGGAACGUUCCACUUGAAACGGUUCCACGAGGGCUGUUCUCGCCUCCGACUCCGGGAAGAACUGUAAUUAACACAGCAACAAACGCCCACGACGCUAACUGGCAACGGGAGUGUAACACGAGCCCGCUGCUCCAACCGAAUUGGGCCAAUUGCUUUCCCUUCUUUGCCUCCCCAUUUGGUCUGUUUUGGUUCCGCACUCAUCCAACUGGAGCGUUUCUUAAAACAUGUCAGUGGCUGGUGUUUGUGUUUUGAGUUGAACAGUUUCACACCCGUCGCUGGAGAUGGUGCUCGGCAGGCUGCUGGGCUGGGGACUUGCUUUCUGCGAGCGUCGCGAGCGUCAGAUAUAUCUUAUUGAAUUUUUCAUUUGAGGAAAGCACCAGCUGGGGAAGCCAAACACGAGCUAUUACAAAAUUCUGCAAGUAAAAUCAACCUAAAGGCUCACACUGCAGUGAUUCCAGCAGCAAGGACAUCCGAAAUCCAGUCCAUCCACACUGCCAUGGUCUCCCUUCUGUACUUUCGAUGAGUGCUUGUCUGAGUUCACUUAAGAAUCCAAACCAGAGCCUUCCAUGA
Peromyscus eremicus (cactus mouse) is the source of this 828-nucleotide long non-coding RNA. RefSeq lists it as uncharacterized. The record is from RefSeq and is a predicted model, not a curated record. The transcript is spliced from 2 exons. Lineage: Eukaryota; Metazoa; Chordata; Mammalia; Rodentia; Cricetidae.